Molecule: unclassified non-coding RNA, 1655 nt
Filed under: Leishmania donovani
Lineage: Eukaryota; Euglenozoa; Kinetoplastea; Trypanosomatida; Trypanosomatidae
Description: gene:LdHU3.27.1440(CDS-product:TatD_related_DNase _putative)
Source: RNAcentral
UGUUUUCGCUGCUUGCCGCACACGUGGCGUGCACUGUGCACACCCUUGAAUCCCUUUCCCCUUGCCCAGCGCCGCUUCGAGUCAAAGGCGUUCGCACGCCACGUAGAGGCGCCUGCACGCCAGAGGCGCUCGAUUAUCGGUUCACUGUACGGGCUUCCACACGUAGAAGCACACGCAUACGCACCCGUAUCCCGACCCUCUCCAGUGAUGUCAUGCCUGCGGCGGUUCCAGUACGCACUCCGCCGUACCUUGUGGAUGUGGCCGCGAACCUGACCGACUGUGUUUUUCGCGGGGUGGACUGGAAGGGCAACCGCCUUCACGACGACGACUUCGACUACGUUUUGGUCCGCGCGCAGGAGCGCAAUGUGCAGCAGAUCAUAAUCACCGGCACCAGCCUUGCCCAGAGCGUCAAGGCCAUCGCGCUCUGUCGGCGAUACCCCGAUCGGCGGCUGCUGUGCACCGUUGGGGUGCACCCGGCGCACUGUGGCGAGUUUCUCCGUCCUCUGGACCGCGACGAAGUGCAACGGGUCGCCGAAAGCGCCGCGUCGGUGGUGAUGCCACACCACGAGAGGCCAGCGGCCGCGAUGACGGCGGAGCAGGAGGAAGCGUGGGCACAGGAGCGCUUAGAUUACUUGGUGGACCUCGCGACUAGAAAUCGCGACGUGGUUGUGGCGAUGGGCGAGAUCGGCAUCGACUAUGCCGAGGUCGCCUGCUGCCCGCGUGAGGUACAGGAGAAGUACUUUGCACGCCAGCUCGCUGCUUUUGCGCCGCUGCAGCUGCCCUUCCUCUUCCACUCACGCGCGUGCGGCAUGAAGUUUGUGUCCCACCUGCAAGACACAUGGGCGCGCAUCGCCUCUGAUGCAGCCGCAACUGAGGCAGUGGCUGAUAAUGCAGACGCCUCCGCACCGCUGCCCCAUGCGCAGUUGCGCGGCGUCGUGCACAGCUUUAACGGCACACUGGAGGAGCAGGAGGCACUGCUGUCGAUGGGGCUGUACUUGAGCCUGAACUGCAGCGCCUUCCGAGAGGCAUCCCUGGCCGCGCAGGUAGCUCUGAUUCCGCUGAGUCGGCUAAUGUUCGAGACGGACGCCCCGUGGUGCGACGUGCGGUCGAAGGACUACGGCGCGCAGUUUGUGCGCACCGUCUUCAAGACGAUCAAGCGCAAGAAGCCGUUUGAGAUGGGCGCCUGCCUGGAGCGGCGCAACGAGCCUUGCCAUCUCGUUCAGGUCAUGGAGGAGUAUCUCGGCUGCGCGAAGGCGUCAGCCACUUCACCGGAGGAUCCGUUGUCAAGGAUGGAUGAGGCGACUCUGGUUGCUGCCGUGUAUGAGAACUGCAAACGUCUUUUCCACCUGUGACCUCUGGGACUCCGUGAUGCUCAAGAUGAGGGAAGUCUUGUGUGUGUGUUUGUGCGCGUGUGUGCCACCUCUGCACACCUCUUCCUCACGUAAGCAAACGCAUCGCGAGCACGUAUAAGGGAAAGAGAAGACAACUCCGCCAGCUCAGUCAGCAGGAGUGGACAGCGAUCAAGAGGGGGAGAGCUGAGCAACGCGCGCUCAUCGUACACGGCGCGCAUAACCCAUUCGAUGUAUGCGUGAAGACUAGGGUUACUGUCUGCGGAGAGUGAUGCAGGGACUCAGGCUUGUGAUCGACGAUCAAAC